AAUAUUGCGCAAUGGGGGAAACCCUGACGCAGCAACGCCGCGUGAGUGAAGAAGGCCUUCGGGUCGUAAAACCCUGUCAUCAGGGAAGAAAAAAAUGACGGUACCCGAUGAGGAAGCCCCGGCAAACUACGUGCCAGCAGCCGCGGUCAUAGGUAGGGGGCAAGCGUUGCCCGGAAUUACUGGGCGUAAAGGGUGCGUAGGCGGACGAUUAAAUCAGAUGUGAAAUACCACGGCUCAACUGUGGGGGUGCAUUUGAAACUGGUUGGCUUGAGUGCAGGAGAAGAAAGUGGAAUUCCUAGUGUAGCGGUGAAAUGCGUAGAGAUUAGGGGGAACACCAGUGGCGAAGGCGACUUUCUGGACUGUAACUGACGGUGAGGCACGAAAGCGUGGGGAGCGAACAGG
Molecule: ribosomal RNA, 402 nt
Filed under: uncultured bacterium
Lineage: Bacteria
Description: partial 16S ribosomal RNA
Rfam family: Bacterial small subunit ribosomal RNA
Source: RNAcentral